UUUGGCAAGCAAAGGGACUCAGUUUCAGAAAGCUCUGGGGCUCCUCAGUUAGAAUUCACUCUGCUGCCUCUACCUGCUGACAACUCACAUCAAUGCCUGGGUGUAUGGAUCUUGCUGGAAAAUCAAAAUGUAACUGGCAAAGAGAAAUGCAGAGGUUCAAUAUUGUGCAAGAUGGAUGUGCAUGUCAUUUGGUGCCAAAGACCCAGGUCACAGGGAUUCCUUCGGGAGACCAGGCCCCUGUCCUCACUCUCACUCCAUGAAGGGAUCCACCUAUGACCUCGAGUCCUUAGACCAACCAGCCCAAGGAACAUCUCACCAAUCUCAAAUUGGGUCCGGCCCAGAGGGGAAAUGGAAAGAAGUCAGGAUCCAGAACAGUAAGGUCUGCAGAUGUCUGGGCAGUUUGCUGGAACACAACUGGGGUUAUAUCUGCAAAUGCUAGAGCCCAUCUACACACAGCAAAAUAUCUCACAAUGAAUUCCCAUCCACAGCCUCAGCAAUGGGCUGGUGUGUCCCCAGAGAAUGUCAGCUGAUUGGACAGCAGUCUGCAGGAGAAGGUGAAUCCCCUAAUUUGGAAGGAACUGAAGCAUGAAAAGAUGCUGAGAUCACAAUGAAAACAGACAAAGUCUUCUGGGGAUGAAAUGUUAAAAAGGGGAGAUGUGCAAGGAACACAGGAAGAAUAAGUUCAGGAGAUCUGUUAUACAACAUGGGGAUGAUAGUUAAUAACAAUGCAUGGUACAUUUGGGGAUUGCUAAAGGAACACCUUGUAAAGAUUUCCACCCUUCCUCUUGAAUGAUAAGUAUGAAAUGUGACGGAUAUAUUUCUUAGCUUGAUGUAGCUGUUCCACCGUGUGUGCAUAUAUCAAAACAUCACGUUGUAUCCCAUAAAUGUAUAUCGUUUAAAUUUGUUAAUUAAAAUAAUAAAUAAUAAAGAACAAUGGGAUUUUUGAAAUAAUCAAGUGUAUUUGUAAAUAUAUGGGUAUAUAUGUAUAUGUACUUAUGUAUUUGUAAAUUACAUGUAUGUAUACUUACAUGAAUAUAUCAGUAUAAACACACAUGUACAUA
This 1061-nucleotide long non-coding RNA is filed under the name Homo sapiens (human). RNAcentral describes it as "HSALNT0287994". Lineage: Eukaryota; Metazoa; Chordata; Mammalia; Primates; Hominidae. The record is from RNAcentral.